RNAcentral lists this ribosomal RNA (532 nucleotides) under uncultured bacterium. Its description in RNAcentral is "partial 16S ribosomal RNA". The record is from RNAcentral.
ACGGUUACCUUGUUACGACUUCACCCUAAUCAUCUGUCCUACCUUAGACGGCUGACUCCUAUAAAGGUUAUCCCACCGGCUUUGGGUGUUACAGACUCUCAUGGUGUGACGGGCGGUGUGUACAAGGCCCGGGAACGUAUUCACCGCGGCGUGCUGAUCCGCGAUUACUAGCGAUUCCAGCUUCGUGUAGGCGAGUUGCAGCCUACAGUCCGAACUGAGAACGGCUUUAAGAGAUCCGCUUGCCUUCGCAGGUUCGCUUCUCGUUGUACCGUCCAUUGUAGCACGUGUGUAGCCCAGGUCAUAAGGGGCAUGAUGACUUGACGUCAUCCCCACCUUCCUCCGGUUUGUCACCGGCAGUCUCAUUAGAGUGCCCAACUUAAUGAUGGCAACUAAUGACAAGGGUUGCGCUCGUUGCGGGACUUAACCCAACAUCUCACGACACGAGCUGACGACAGCCAUGCACCACCUGUCUCAGCGUCCCCGAAGGGAACACCUAAUCUCUUAGGUUUGCACUGGAUGUCAAGACCUGGUA